Long non-coding RNA from Acinonyx jubatus (cheetah), 2732 nucleotides. RefSeq lists it as uncharacterized. Lineage: Eukaryota; Metazoa; Chordata; Mammalia; Carnivora; Felidae. The transcript has 3 exons. The record is from RefSeq and is a predicted model, not a curated record.
AACGCCGUCGGAGAGCGAGAGCGAUUGCGUCUCGCUGUGCAUGCGCAGCCAGCGGUGGUGGCGGCUGAAGCCGCCAUAGUGCUGGUGCUUAGCCGGCUUCCGCUUUCCCAGGAAGCCCAGCGGCGGCCUGGCGCUCGGCGCCAUCUUGGCGUGGUUCUUGGGAGUGAAGCCGGUGAGGGUCAGGCUGUGGAGGACUUCGGCACACGAGUGGUCGGGAUCCGGCCCCGGGGGCCGGCCUUGGGGGUCCUGGCCCGAUCCCAGAGGACUCUUCAUGUCAUGCACCUGCAGAACGUCGGGGGCGCUGCCACUUAGGCCGCUGAGAGCCUGCUGGGCGAUAUCCUGUGAUGACAGGUAGACCAGGUCCAGGUCUCGGGGGCUCAGGGCAUCACUGGAGUCGUAGUCGCUGUCAGUGGGGAGGAAGACUUCUGAGCAGCCUUCUUCAUCAGAGCAGGGCUGUGAAUCUACAGAGCCAGAGACCCAGGGGACUGAGGAGUAUAUGAAGGUGUGCUUCAAAGGUCUGACCUUCUAAUUUUCAAUGGGGAAUCCUAUUUUAAGACUCCCAGGGAGAGCCUGUGCUGAUUCCUUCAGAAGGCAUACACUAUGUCUUAUUUAUUUCUGCUCAGUAAAUGUUGAAGAAGUCAGGCAGUGAAGGAAUGGACCAAAGAAGGAGUCAAGCAAAGGGGCAUGCAGAAUCUUCUGUAUUUUCUAGAUCAUCUAAUCUGAACAUUGACAUUUGAGCAGGCCAUGAGGAUCUCCUAACAAGACUGCAACUUAAUUAUCAUUGUAUUAUUCGCUUCUUGUGCUAUUUCUGUUGCAUACAAAGCUUUCAGUAAAAUAAGUUAUGUUGAGUUGAUUGAAACUAAAAUAAAUAUUGAAAUCUGGGAGCAUAAAGAAUUGUGAGAUUUGAUUGCCUCUUAAAAACAAUACUGAAAGCAGCCUGGAAAGAGCUAAUUUACGUAAUCUGCCAUAGAAAUUCCUGAAAACAGUCACCUAAAUUAUUUUGUUUCAUAUUUGGUGAUGCUUGACUUAAGGGUCAGCCUAGUUGUAGCAGAAAGAACAACUGUCUUAAAAUCCGACAAACCUGGGCUGAAGUCUUAUCUUGCUCCUUGACCGUGUAUCUGAUCUUGAGCAAAUCACUUAGCCCCUCUGAACCUUUCUUCCUCUACAGCAUGUCGGUAUUAUAUUGCGUAUCUUCACAGGUGCCAGGAUGAUUAAAUUAGAUUGUUAGAAACACUUUAAGUGCCUUCCUACCCUUAAAUACUGAGAAAAUAACUAGAAAACGUUAUCAAGAGGUGACUCAUUAAAAUAUAGACCAGUAAUCAGAUAAACUUCAAGACUUUGCUGUGAGAAUGCUGUUGAUAAUAAAGGAGAACAAUAAUCUCUCGUAUGGUGUCUUGUGUUGGUGGUGAUCUAGUUCAGUACUGUAUUUCCUGACCUAGAUUUAGCAGUGAAUUUGUAAAUGAUAUAACUAACUUCUUUACCAUAGCUCCUAGGAGCAAGAGACAUAGGAGAUAAAUUAAAAGAAGAGCUGGUUGUAACUGUCAUAACCCAAGGAGAGGGAAAAAAGGCUUGGGUAUGGAGUGGUAAAUAUUAUCUUGUCGUUUCAUGGACCCACAGUUGGGAAACACUGUUCUAGUAGGAAUCUAAAUAUUUGACUUCCAUGGUGGUUGUAUUAUUUAUUAUAAGACUUAGUGGAACCUAUUGCUUAGAGUGGGAUACCCCUCCCAGAACAAGCUGGGAAAAUCUCCAGGAUGCCAGCCAGGGCACUGAGGAGAGUUUCCAGGGACUUAGGCCACUGCCACUCCCUCCCUUCCUGGAAAAGAAUGCAAAGUGCAGCUUCCAUCCCCAGAUCCAGGCCAUAUGCUCCAUUAAGCAUUGUAGGCACCUUGCCCAGUUGUUAUUUUAAUAAACCUGGUUGUGCUCCUCAAUUUCCCUUACAGGGCCCACUGGGCAGGCUAGCAUUGGUAGAACCUUGUGUUUCCCCUCUGACUGACCCAGGAGCUGUUUGAUGAAAGUUCUGCCCAUAGUAUUAGUGCUGGCUUAGGAAGCUUGGCCUUUUUGCCAUUGUAAUGGGUGUUGCAAUUCCUGGUCUCUGUGGCUCAGGCCAACAACAGCAGAGUAGAGUUGAUGUGGAUUUUGAGGGCGUUAUGUAGAGAUGACAUUUCAGGAAAGAAUAAUUGAUUUAAAGCUAUUGCCUUUCUCUUAAAGGCAGGGGGCAUGGCAGGACAGAAAGAAAGGAAUAAUAAGCAAUAUUUGCCCUAAAAUCUAUCUUCACAUUUUUAAUGUAUCAGUGUCCAAAUUUGUACUUUUUUGUGUGCUUCAUUGAAUCUGUUUCCACUGUGUUUGAGUAGAAUUUAAAUAACUUAUAAAUGAAGAAUUUAAAUAAAUGGGGAGAACCUCAGGGAUUUGUUCACCUUCUAAUUUACCAAGAGAAAUAACAUCUUCAGAUUCCUGCUGAUUUUCUGAACUGUUUAGUUUAUACUGUAAUGAUCUUAAAAUCAUCUGGAAAAAGGUUACCAGAUUGGAAGAUCAGAAUAAUCUUCAAAUGCAUCUGAAGGAAACAACACCCCCCUCCCCUCUGUUGCCUCACCCAUGUGUCACUAGGAGAAAUAGCAGUAUCGGAAAAAAAAAUUGCUGCUGCCUGUGACCACUGUACCCACAGAAAAGGAGUGGGAGAGAAAAUACACAUGUGAUGGACCAAAUCAUUCCACCCCCUGCCAUGAGUUGCCUUU